GAUGAACGCUGGCGGCGUGCCUAAUACAUGCAAGUCGAGCGAACGGACGAGAAGCUUGCUUCUCUGAUGUUAGCGGUGGACGGGUGAGUAACACGUGGAUAACCUACCUAUAAGACUGGGAUAACUUCGGGAAACCGUAGCUAAUACCGGAUAAUAUUUUGAACCGCAUGGUUCAAAAGUGAAAGACGGUCUUGCUGUCACUUAUAGAUGGAUCCGCGCUGCAUUAGCUAGUUGGUAAGGUAACGGCUUACCAAGGCAACGAUGCAUAGCCGACCUGAGAGGGUGAUCGGCCACACUGGAACUGAGACACGGUCCAGACUCCUACGGGAGGCAGCAGUAGGGAAUCUUCCGCAAUAGGCGAAAGCCUGACGGAGCAACGCCGCGUGAGUGAUGAAGGUCUUCGGAUCGUAAAACUCUGUUAUUAGGGAAGAACAUAUGUGUAAGUAACUGUGCACAUCUUGACGGUACCUAAUCAGAAAGCCACGGCUAACUACGUG
This 497-nucleotide ribosomal RNA is filed under the name uncultured bacterium. Its description in RNAcentral is "partial 16S ribosomal RNA". It matches the Rfam family "Bacterial small subunit ribosomal RNA", at positions 28 to 507 of the family's 1533-position model. The record is from RNAcentral.